RNAcentral lists this ribosomal RNA (253 nucleotides) under uncultured bacterium. RNAcentral describes it as "partial 16S ribosomal RNA". It matches the Rfam family "Bacterial small subunit ribosomal RNA", at positions 524 to 776 of the family's 1533-position model. The record is from RNAcentral.
UACAGAGGGUGCAAGCGUUAUCCGGAUUCACUGGGUUUAAAGGGUGCGUAGGUGGGUUGGUAAGUCAGUGGUGAAAUCCCCGAGCUUAACUUGGGAACUGCCAUUGAUACUAUCAGUCUUGAAUACCGUGGAGGUCAGCGGAAUAUGUCAUGUAGCGGUGAAAUGCUUAGAUAUGACAUAGAACACCAAUUGCGAAGGCAGCUGGCUACACGGAUAUUGACACUGAGGCACGAAAGCGUGGGGAUCAAACAGG